UUUGGUCUUUUUCAUUCAGCAGCUAGGGUUUUCGAGAAACCGUAGCGCCGCCUAGAGGCGAUGGCCUCUCUCUUGCGUCACUAUUGCCAUUACCGGAAAGUUUACAAGCAUAGUACACCUUUACCAGGUCUGGUAUAGCCGGAUCGAGCAAAAUCAUUUAAUGCUUCACCCCUCUCUCAUCAAACACGACCCAAGCACGGUACAUCACUCUUCCUGUUUUACUUUUUCUGAUAAAUUGGGGUUAAUGAGACGAAUCCCAUUUGAACUCUCAAAUCCCAUUGCUUGGUCCAAAACCAACCAGAUCCGUUGAGAAUUCUUCAAAUCUAGCCUUUCAUGCAUUUUUCAUCUUAAAUCGUGACCCUUGAUUGUUGAAACAAGGUUUAUUCCUAGAAAUUUGGUGGAAGUCCCACAUCGAUUUGGGGCUAGGGUUUGGGAAUUUCGGGGGUUUUAUAUAAAGAACCUCAUUUCUACCAUUUUACAUACUUGGAGACACAGAAUAUAACAUAUAUUCACAAAAAUUCGAGUUUCUUAAGUUUUGGCAUACUUUGCCUUGAAACUUUAAUUUUUCAAGUUAAGUUAAAAUUUUAAAAUAUUUUCUUUGUUCUUGUGUGGCUUGAGCAUUUGGGUUAAGGAAGCAAGGAUCUUCCAAGUUCAAUCUCGACCGUUGGUUGCGCUCCCAAGAGGCUUGAGGACCAACUUUCUUUCUUUGAUAGAGUCCGAAGAGAAGUAAGGGAAGCUAAUAUUACGAAGGCCCAUCCAUGGGUAAAAAUGAUCGCCGGUGGGUUUUGGGUAGGCCCACCAGUUCAAUUCUCAUCCUUUUCCUUCUCCUUUUAUCUUAUAUGCCAUGUGUGUAUAUAUAUUGUAUAUGUGAACAAAUGUGUAAAAUAUUGAAACCCUUUAUAUGCUUAGAACAUAGAAAAAACUCUAGUAUUAUUAGGAAGUCGCUAAAACUAUUUUCAAAACUCGCCUAAUUCUCUAGCAUAUGCACGAAAUCAGUAAUUAGCUAUAAGAUUCCUUAA
Molecule: long non-coding RNA, 1019 nt
Organism: Lycium barbarum (goji berry)
Lineage: Eukaryota; Viridiplantae; Streptophyta; Magnoliopsida; Solanales; Solanaceae
Exons: 2
Source: RefSeq, a predicted model, not a curated record